UCCUACGGGAGGCAGCAGUGGGGAAUAUUGCACAAUGGGGGAAACCCUGAUGCAGCCAUGCCGCGUGUGUGAAGAAGGCCUUCGGGUUGUAAAGCACUUUCAGUAGGGAGGAAGGUAGUGUAGUUAACACCUGCAUUAUUUGACGUUACCUACAGAAGAAGCACCGGCUAACUCCGUGCCAGCAGCCGCGGUAAUACGGAGGGUGCGAGCGUUAAUCGGAAUUACUGGGCGUAAAGCGCAUGCAGGCGGCCUGUUAAGUCAGAUGUGAAAGCCCGGGGCUUAACCUCGGAACUGCAUUUGAAACUGGCAGGCUAGAGUCUUGUAGAGGGGGGUAGAAUUUCAGGUGUAGCGGUGAAAUGCGUAGAGAUCUGAAGGAAUACCAGUAGCGAAGGCGGCCCCCUGGACAAAGACUGACGCUCAGAUGCGAAAGCGUGGGGAGCAAACAGGAUUAGAUACCCUGGUAGUCCACGCCGUAAACGAUGUCUACUUGGAGGUUGUGGCCUUGAGCCGUGGCUUUCGGAGCUAACGCGUUAAGUAGACCGCCUGGGGAGUACGGUCGCAAGAUUAAAACUCAAAUGAAUUGACGGA
Molecule: ribosomal RNA, 588 nt
Filed under: uncultured bacterium
Lineage: Bacteria
Description: bacterial SSU rRNA
Rfam family: Bacterial small subunit ribosomal RNA
Source: RNAcentral